Molecule: long non-coding RNA, 247 nt
Filed under: Trifolium pratense (red clover)
Lineage: Eukaryota; Viridiplantae; Streptophyta; Magnoliopsida; Fabales; Fabaceae
Description: long non-coding RNA (TPRA_LNC011787)
Source: RNAcentral
UUGAUAAUUGUUGGGAUUUUGAUAAUUGUUGGGGUUUUGAUAAUUGUUGGAGUUUUGAUAAUUGUUGGGAUUUUGAGAAUUGUUGGAAUUUUGAGAAUUGUUGGGAUCCAUUUCACUAAAAAAAGAUUAAAACUUCAAAAGAAAGACUAAUUAGAAAGUUAAUAAUAGAUUAAGAUAGUGAAAAAUUUGGUUUUUUUUUCUGUGUCCAAAUGAAAUGAACCAAAUCUCUAUUUGUAGAGAAAAAAAA